AUUGACAUCAGCAUGUAUACUGCCGUUGUAAGCACACCUCUAAAAGAACAAGUGUGCCACCAUGACUACAACUCAUAUACAUCAGGUCAAAGUGCAGCUAAUAAGAAGGUGAUGAUGGGUUACAACCCUAAAAUAGAAUAUCAAUAAAGAAAUAAAAAAUCUUAAGAAAGUGGACUUGGUUGUAAUCAAUUUAUAACAUAUAAAGAUGAAUAAUAAUCUAAGACAUGCACACAUCGCCCGUCACUCUAUCCUAAAGGAUAGAUAAGUCGUAACAAAGUAGGUGUAAUGGAAAUUGUACCUGUCGAAGUAUAGCAUAUAUAAUGCUUUUUACUUACACUAAAAAAAAAGUUAAUAUAACUUACCUCGCCCGUGUAACACAACCCUAUAAAUAACAUAUAAUAAAAACAAUUAAACAUACAUAGAAUAACAAAGUACAGAAAUGGAAACAAUAAUAAAUAAUAGUAAAUUUUAAAAACUAUACCUUGUGCAUUAUGGUUUUACAAGAAAACAAUUAAAAAUAUAAAUCCCGAAUUCUUUAUGAGAUGUUAGACUGCUGUUAAGAACCCAUUAGUAACUGUAGAAAAAGGUUUAAAAGACAGUAUAACAGAGGCUACAUACCAUACGCAUAAGAAAAUAGCUGGUUUUCAACAAAUAUUAUACAUUAAAACAUAUAAAUAUAUUAUAGUGUAACAUUAUUGAGGACAAGCCCAAUAAUUCAAACAAUAUUGACAAAUAUCCAUCACACACAAUAGGCCUAAUAUCAGCCAACAACAAUACUUUACCGUAAUACACGUGGAUAUAAUUUAUAUAUUAAUAUGUCAAAACAAGUUGAAAUGAUAAAUAAACUGCCUUAUUUAUCUAUAUUAUGUAAAAAUAAGUAUUAUAAAUUAUAAAUAUAAUUAGCAAGCAAUUAACAACAAUAAAAAAAUCAUAAUUAAUUAAGGAACUCGGCAAACCACUAUUUCGACUGUUUAACAAAAACAUUGUCCCAUGAACAAAAUAUGGGAUAA
This 1010-nucleotide ribosomal RNA is filed under the name Amynthas sp. SS107X. RNAcentral describes it as "partial 12S ribosomal RNA". Lineage: Eukaryota; Metazoa; Annelida; Clitellata; Crassiclitellata; Megascolecidae. The record is from RNAcentral.